Molecule: transfer RNA, 69 nt
Filed under: Tituria sagittata
Lineage: Eukaryota; Metazoa; Arthropoda; Insecta; Hemiptera; Cicadellidae
Description: tRNA-Ile
Source: RNAcentral
AAUAAGGUGCCUGAUUAAAGGAUCAUUUUGAUGUAAUGAAUUAUAUAUAAUUAUAUUAUAUUCUUAUUG